RNAcentral lists this non-coding RNA (841 nucleotides) under Bacillus methanolicus MGA3. Lineage: Bacteria; Bacillati; Bacillota; Bacilli; Caryophanales; Bacillaceae. The record is from RNAcentral.
AUCGAAUAGGAUUUCCAUUGGGGUCAAAAGAAAUUCAUUUAAAAUAAAUAUCCGGAUAAACCUAAUAAUAAAAAUAAUGGUUUAUCCGGUUUUAUUUUGUUUAAGUUUUAAUUUUGGCAGGGAAUUUGGCAGAAAAUAAUAAAUAAUUAUUAAAAACUGUAAGGAUAAAAAAGUCGAUUCAUUUUAGCAUUUCUUCUAAUGCUUUCGCAGCAUUUGCUUGCAUAUUUCGGAUCGUUCUCUUUUUUCCUUUAAUUCAAAGCCGCUUCUUUUAUAUCAACCUGGUUUGCCAAUGGUGCACUCCGAUGCAGCCAUUUGUAGCAAAUCGGUACCAUGAAGAGACUAAUAAAGGUAGAACUUACCAGACCACCGAUGACCACAAUGCCAAGCGUUUGCGAGAUCACCGUAUCGGUACGUGAUGAAAAGGCAAGCGGAAUCAAAGUUAAAAUGGUGGUGAAAGCUGUUGUCAAAAUCGGCCGUAUCCGGGUGAGCGUCCCCUGUAAAAUUGCCUCCUCCAGUUUCAUGCCGGCUGCGAUGUUUCGCUCGACUUUAUCAACAAGAACGAUGCCAUUGGUCACAACAAUUCCCGUCAACAUCAAUAAACCGACAAAGGCCGCCAGAUUCCAUUCCAGUUUAAAAAUAACCAUGCUGAUGACCGAGCCGAUAAACGCGAGCGGUAUGCACAGCAAGACGGAAAGAGGGGCUUUCCAGCCGCGGAAAACAACACUGAUGAUGAAAAGCACCAGAAAGACGGAAAUGAAUAAAGCAAAUCCCAUCUCAACCAUCAUUUCAUACACCUGCUGCGGGGCACCCGCAAAGGAAACCUUUAUGCCUUCCGGAAGCG